GCCUCUGAUGAUGAUGAAAAAGUUACUUUCGUUCUUCUGAGAUUCUCUGUGCGGAAACCUAAACUGAACUGAAGAGGC
Mercurialis annua (annual mercury) is the source of this 78-nucleotide small nucleolar RNA. RefSeq annotates it as small nucleolar RNA Z159/U59. NCBI's taxonomy places the organism in Eukaryota, Viridiplantae, Streptophyta, Magnoliopsida, Malpighiales, Euphorbiaceae. The transcript has a single exon. The record is from RefSeq and is a predicted model, not a curated record.